Molecule: ribosomal RNA, 468 nt
Filed under: uncultured bacterium
Lineage: Bacteria
Description: partial 16S ribosomal RNA
Rfam family: Bacterial small subunit ribosomal RNA
Source: RNAcentral
GACGAACGCUGGCGGCGUGCUUAACACAUGCCAGUCGAACGGAAAGGCCCUGCUUUUGUGGGGUGCUCGAGUGGCGAACGGGUGAGUAACACGUGAGUAACCUGCCCUUGACUUUGGGAUAACUUCAGGAAACUGGGGCUAAUACCGGAUAGGAGCUCCUGCUGCAUGGUGGGGGUUGGAAAGUUUCGGCGGUUGGGGAUGGACUCGCGGCUUAUCAGCUUGUUGGUGGGGUAGUGGCUUACCAAGGCUUUGACGGGUAGCCGGCCUGAGAGGGUGACCGGCCACAUUGGGACUGGGAUAAGGCCCAGACUCCUACGGGAGGCAGCAGUGGGGAAUAUUGCACAAUGGGCGGAAGCCUGAUGCAGCAACGCCGCGUGCGGGAUGACGGCCUUCGGGUUGUAAACCGCUUUCGCCUGUGACGAAGCGUGAGUGACGGUAAUGGGUAAAGAAGCACCGGCUAACUACGUG